RNAcentral lists this ribosomal RNA (255 nucleotides) under uncultured bacterium. RNAcentral's name for it is "partial 16S ribosomal RNA". It matches the Rfam family "Bacterial small subunit ribosomal RNA", at positions 793 to 1055 of the family's 1533-position model. The record is from RNAcentral.
GUCCACGCCGUAAACGAUGGAUACUAGCUGUUGGGAGCAAUCUCAGUGGCUAAGCGAAAGUGAUAAGUAUCCCACCUGGGGAGUACGAACGCAAGUUUGAAACUCAAAGGAAUUGACGGGGGCCCGCACAAGCGGUGGAGCAUGUGGUUUAAUUCGAUGAUACGCGAGGAACCUUACCAAGGCUUAAAUGUAGUUUGACCGUUUUGGAAACAGAACUUUCGCAAGACAAAUUACAAGGUGCUGCAUGGUUGUCGU